RNAcentral lists this unclassified non-coding RNA (377 nucleotides) under uncultured Oligoflexaceae bacterium. RNAcentral's name for it is "contains 16S-23S intergenic spacer region". The record is from RNAcentral. Lineage: Bacteria; Pseudomonadati; Bdellovibrionota; Oligoflexia; Oligoflexales; Oligoflexaceae.
UCCGGUUUAACACCGGCGGUCUUCCCAGAGUCCCCAACUUAAUGCUGGUAACUGAGAACAGGGGUUGCGCUCGUUGCCGGACUUAACCGAACAUUUCACAACACGAGCUGACGACAGCCAUGCAGCACCUGUCUACGAGUCCCCGAAGGGAAGGAUGCAUCUCUGCACCUGUCUCGCGAUGUCAAGGCCAGGUAAGGUUCUGCGCGUUGCUUCGAAUUAAACCACAUACUCCACCGCUUGUGCGGGCCCCCGUCAAUUCCUUUGAGUUUUAGUCUUGCGACCGUACUUCCCAGGCGGGAUACUUAAUGUGUGAACUUUGGCACUCAGAGGGUUAACUCUCCGAACGCCUAGUAUCCAUCGUUUACGGUGCGGACUAC